RNAcentral lists this ribosomal RNA (400 nucleotides) under uncultured bacterium. RNAcentral describes it as "bacterial SSU rRNA". It matches the Rfam family "Bacterial small subunit ribosomal RNA", at positions 355 to 772 of the family's 1533-position model. The record is from RNAcentral.
UGGGGAAUAUUGGACAAUGGGCGAAAGCCUGAUCCAGCAAUGCCGCGUGAGUGAUGAAGGCCUUAGGGUUGUAAAGCUCUUUUACUGGGGAUGAUAAUGACAGUACCCAGAGAAUAAGCCCCGGCUAACUCCGUGCCAGCAGCCGCGGUAAUACGGAGGGGGCUAGCGUUGUUCGGAAAUACUGGGCGUAAAGCGCACGUAGGCGGCGCGGCAAGUCAGGGGUGAAAUCCCGGAGCUCAACUCCGGAACUGCCCUUGAAACUGCCAUGCUAGAAUCUUGGAGAGGCGAGUGGAAUUCCGAGUGUAGAGGUGAAAUUCGUAGAUAUUCGGAAGAACACCAGUGGCGAAGGCGACUCGCUGGACAAGUAUUGACGCUGAGGUGCGAAAGCGUGGGGAGCAAA